This 126-nucleotide ribosomal RNA is filed under the name Microspora sp. UTEX LB472. Lineage: Eukaryota; Viridiplantae; Chlorophyta; Chlorophyceae; Microsporaceae. The record is from RNAcentral.
AUACUUUGGUGCUCUAUGCUCUAUUAGAACUACCCCAAUCCAUCCCGAACUUGGGUGUCAAAGAAUAGAGGGUGUAAAAUAACUUGUUGGAUGCCUGACUGGAAACUUUACACUAGUGCCAAGGUG